RNAcentral lists this ribosomal RNA (321 nucleotides) under Triticum aestivum (bread wheat). RNAcentral's name for it is "partial small subunit ribosomal RNA". The record is from RNAcentral. Lineage: Eukaryota; Viridiplantae; Streptophyta; Magnoliopsida; Poales; Poaceae.
UUUCACGGGAAUCCUACAUAUCCUCCGCACCUUUUCCGGAGAAGGUACCGAAUGCGCCGAUCCCUCUUUGUGAAACUUGUUGAAGCUUGCGAGACAAAUUGCCGGUAUUUUACUCAAAGAAGGAAUGCCGCGGGCUUAAAGGGAUUUAGUGCAUAUCGAAAAAUCUCCGCAGCUAUGCGGGUGAUUGCAUAUGGCGUUCCGGCUGACUAUGCCGAUGAGUAUCUUAGCAUCGGUGAAGAUAACACAAUUGAGUCUGUGCGUAGAUUUGCGAAAGUGAUCGUCCGUAUCUGGCACCGAAUGAAGAUGACACAAAGAAAUUGA